RNAcentral lists this small RNA (738 nucleotides) under Hebeloma aff. crustuliniforme JB-2013. Its description in RNAcentral is "eukaryotic LSU rRNA". The stretch from base 248 to 401 matches the Rfam family "5.8S ribosomal RNA". The record is from RNAcentral. Lineage: Eukaryota; Fungi; Basidiomycota; Agaricomycetes; Agaricales; Hymenogastraceae.
GAUCAUUAUUGAAUGAACUUGGUGUGGUUGUCGCUGGCCCUCUUGGGGGCAUGUGCACACCUACCAUCCUCAUCUCUCCACCUGUGCACCUCUUGUAGAUUUGGAAUUGAUUAUCCGAGGCAACUCGGUCGUGAGGACUGCUAGCACUUAGCUGGCUUUCUUUGCAAUUCCAGGUCUAUGUUUUUCAUAUACCCCAUUGUAUGUAACAGAAUGUAUCAUUGGGCCCUUGUGCCUAUAAACCUUAUACAACUUUCAGCAACGGAUCUCUUGGCUCUCGCAUCGAUGAAGAACGCAGCGAAAUGCGAUAAGUAAUGUGAAUUGCAGAAUUCAGUGAAUCAUCGAAUCUUUGAACGCACCUUGCGCUCCUUGGUAUUCCGAGGAGCAUGCCUGUUUGAGUGUCAUUAAAUUCUCAACCAUUAUCAACUUUUGCUGGUAAURGCUUGGAUGUGGGGGUCUAUUUUGCUGGCUUCUCAGAUAGUCAGCUCCCCUUAAAUGCAUUAGCUGGUGCCCCGCGUGGACUGUCUAUUGGUGUGAUAAUUAUCAACGCUAUAGACAUCUGCAAUCAUAUGGGUUUGCGCUGCUUCUAACAGUCUGUUGAUUCAGACAAUACAUGACAAUUUGACCUCAAAUCAGGUAGGACUACCCGCUGAACUUAAGCAUAUCAAUAAGCGGAGGAAAAGAAACUAACAAGGAUUCCCCUAGUAACUGCGAGUGAAGCGGGAAAAGCUCAAAUUUAAA